UGGGGAAUAUUGCACAAUGGGGGAAACCCUGAUGCAGCGACGCCGCGUGAAGGAAGAAGUAUCUCGGUAUGUAAACUUCUAUCAGCAGGGAAGAAAAUGACGGUACCUGACUAAGAAGCCCCGGCUAACUACGUGCCAGCAGCCGCGGUAAUACGUAGGGGGCAAGCGUUAUCCGGAUUUACUGGGUGUAAAGGGAGCGUACACGGGGGAGCAAGUCUGAUGUGAAAGGCCGGGGCUUAACUCCUGGACUGCAUUGGAAACUGCCAGACUUGAGUGCCGGAGGGGUAAGCGGAAUUCCUAGUGUAGCGGUGAAAUGCGUAGAUAUUAGGAGGAACACCAGUGGCGAAGGCGGCUUACUGGACGGUAACUGACGUUGAGGCUCGAAAGCGUGGGGAGCAAACAG
RNAcentral lists this ribosomal RNA (403 nucleotides) under uncultured bacterium. RNAcentral describes it as "bacterial SSU rRNA". It matches the Rfam family "Bacterial small subunit ribosomal RNA", at positions 355 to 775 of the family's 1533-position model. The record is from RNAcentral.